RNAcentral lists this microRNA (21 nucleotides) under Centruroides sculpturatus (bark scorpion). RNAcentral's name for it is "Csc-Mir-5735_3p (mature (guide))". Lineage: Eukaryota; Metazoa; Arthropoda; Arachnida; Scorpiones; Buthidae. The record is from RNAcentral.
UGGACAACAAGAUAAAGGCGU